GACGAACGCUGGCGGCGUGCUUAACACAUGCAAGUCGAACGGAAAGGCCCUGCUUGCCGGGUACUCGAGUGGCGAACGGGUGAGUAACACGUGGGUGAUCUGCCCUGCACUUCGGGAUAAGCCUGGGAAACUGGGUCUAAUACCGGAUAGGAGCCAUUUUUAGUGUGAUGGUUGGAAAGUUUUUUCGGUGUAGGAUGAGCUCGCGGCCUAUCAGCUUGUUGGUGGGGUAAUGGCCUACCAAGGCGGCGACGGGUAGCCGGCCUGAGAGGGUGGACGGCCACAUUGGGACUGAGAUACGGCCCAGACUCCUACGGGGGGCAGCAGUGGGGAAUAUUGCACAAUGGGCGCAAGCCUGAUGCAGCGACGCCGCGUGGGGGAUGACGGCCUUCGGGUUGGAAACUCCUUUCGCUAGGGACGAAGCUUUUUGUGACGGUACCUAGAUAAGAAGCACCGGCUAACUACGUG
This 465-nucleotide ribosomal RNA is filed under the name uncultured bacterium. Its description in RNAcentral is "partial 16S ribosomal RNA". It matches the Rfam family "Bacterial small subunit ribosomal RNA", at positions 28 to 507 of the family's 1533-position model. The record is from RNAcentral.